This 1577-nucleotide small RNA is filed under the name Pan troglodytes (chimpanzee). RNAcentral's name for it is "retained intron". Lineage: Eukaryota; Metazoa; Chordata; Mammalia; Primates; Hominidae. The record is from RNAcentral.
GGCGUUCCUGUUACCUCUCAUCAUUGUGUUAAUGGUGAAGCACAGCGAUUCCCGGACGCACUCUCUGAGAUAUUUUCGCCUGGGCGUUUCGGAUCCCAUCCAUGGGGUCCCUGAAUUUAUUUCGGUUGGGUACGUGGACUCGCACCCUAUCACCACAUAUGACAGUGUCACUCGGCAGAAGGAGCCACGGGCCCCAUGGAUGGCAGAGAACCUCGCGCCUGAUCACUGGGAGAGGUACACUCAGCUGCUGAGGGGCUGGCAGCAGAUGUUCAAGGUGGAACUGAAGCGCCUGCAGAGGCACUACAAUCACUCAGGGUCUCACACUUACCAGAGAAUGAUUGGCUGUGAGCUGCUGGAGGAUGGAAGCACCACAGGAUUUCUGCAGUAUGCAUAUGACGGGCAGGAUUUCCUGAUCUUCAAUAAAGACACCCUUUCCUGGCUGGCUGUAGAUAAUGUGGCUCACACCAUCAAGCAGGCAUGGGAGGCCAAUCAGCAUGAGUUGCUGUAUCAAAAGAAUUGGCUGGAAGAAGAAUGUAUUGCCUGGCUAAAGAGAUUCCUGGAGUAUGGGAAAGACACCCUACAAAGAACAGGUAAAGAGAAAGAGAAGGCCUCAUUCCCACAUUGCCUGAACAACUGUUUUUAUACGUAACUCUUUUAAUCUAGGUUAUAUCCACUGUAUCCUGAAAGCCAUCUCUUUAGUUGGCCUAUUGUGAUCUCAUGGCUAGAGCCCCCACGAGAACUUUCCCUGGUUACUUUUGAGCGGCAUCUUGACAAGAUUUGACAGUUCCCCUUGACAGAGUGGAGUACCUCCAAGGGCACCUUGUUUUUGGGGAUCUAUUGAGGCAAAUUCUUCCAUUCCAUCAAUGAUAAGCUGGGAAAUUCUUUGGGAGAUAGAGCAAUUCUUACAAACUGUUUAGUUAACAAAGGGCUCACACACCACCAGUAGGAGUAAAAAUCUGGAUUUACCAAGACAAACAGAAGGUCUCUGCUUUACUAAAGGAUUAAUGAGGUUGGGCUUGUUGGCUCAUGCCUGUAAUCCUAGCACUUUGGGAGGCUGAGGCAGGAGGAUUGCUUGAGGCCAGGAGUUUAAGACUGGCCUGGGUAACAUUGUGAGACCCUGUCUCUAUUAAAAAAAAAAAAAUUAGCUGAGCAUGGUGGCACAUGACUGUAGUCCCAGAUACUCAGGAGGCUGAGGUGGGAGGAUCUCUUGAGCCUGGAAGGUCAAGGCUGCAGUGAGCCAUGAUCAUGAUCAGCCUGGGUCACAGAGCAAGACCCUAUUUAAAAAAAAAAAAAAGUAUUAAUGAUAAGAUUCCUUUCAGCAAAGAGCUCCUCUUAUACCUUAAAGAUAUGAUUCAGUUGGUCAACUUUUAGUUCAUACAGAACUUUUCAUGUAUGAUCUUGUUAUUCAAAAUUAAUCAUGCCUGUAUGAUGCUACAGGAAACUCCUAGAUACAAUGUGUGUGGGAAGAGUAUGGGAAGCUCCCCUCUCCAGGCCUCUGUCUACAUUCAGUGUCCUAAUGGAUUUUCAACCUUUUGGUCAAAACACACUCCUAAAAAAACAAACAAAAAAAAAAAAAA